RNAcentral lists this ribosomal RNA (492 nucleotides) under uncultured bacterium. RNAcentral's name for it is "bacterial SSU rRNA". It matches the Rfam family "Bacterial small subunit ribosomal RNA", at positions 21 to 507 of the family's 1533-position model. The record is from RNAcentral.
GGCUCAGAUUGAACGCGUGCGGCAGGCCUAACACAUGCAAGUCGAGCGGUAGAGAGGUGCUUGCAUCUCUUGAGAGCGGCGGACGGGUGAGUAAUGCCUAGGAAUCUGCCUAGUGGUGGGGGAUAACGUUCGGAAACGGACGCUAAUACCGCAUACGUCCUACGGGAGAAAGCGGGGGGAUCUUCGGACCUCGCGCCAUUAGAUGAGCCUAGGUCGGAUUAGCUAGUUGGUGAGGUAAUGGCUCACCAAGGCGACGAUCCGUAACUGGUCUGAGAGGAUGAUCAGUCACACUGGAACUGAGACACGGUCCAGACUCCUACGGGAGGCAGCAGUGGGGAAUAUUGGACAAUGGGCGAAAGCCUGAUCCAGCCAUGCCGCGUGUGUGAAGAAGGUCUUCGGAUUGUAAAGCACUUUAAGUUGGGAGGAAGGGUAGUAACCUAAUACGUUGCUACUUUGACGUUACCGACAGAAUAAGCACCGGCUAACUUCGUG